Arachis ipaensis is the source of this 493-nucleotide non-coding RNA. Lineage: Eukaryota; Viridiplantae; Streptophyta; Magnoliopsida; Fabales; Fabaceae. The record is from RefSeq and is a predicted model, not a curated record.
AUCAGUAAUUCAAAUUCUCAGCGCCAACAACCAUUUUUGCCCCAAAAUAAGCUAAACCCGAUUUAUCUGAACUUGGUGUGCUGCAAUUACUGUUUGGUAUCCAGUUCAACAAUGAAAAGACGGGGGUUGAAGUAUUAAUUAAUUAUCAUAGUGAGUAUUAAAGUGCUGAUUAACACCUUGUUGGCGCUGAAAAAUUUUCAUCCUUUGGACAUUACUUCUAAAGUGCCCAGCCUAAAGCUUCAUCCAGCAUGAACAGACCAAGAAGAUGCAGCAUCUAUAUUGAAAGCUCUUUCUACAGUUAUGCUUUCAACCCAAGGAUAUAAAUUUAAAACCAAUCAUGAAGAUUGGGUCAAAUCCAUCAAAGCCAAAUUAGGUCGUGAUGUUCUUGAGCGUGUUUUUGCUGCUAUUAAUAGUUUAAUGCUACUCAUAAUAAUAUAAAAACCUUGUAUAAAGUUCGGACUGAGAUGCGAGCUGCAUUUCAAAGUCUACUAAA